This is a long non-coding RNA of Sinocyclocheilus grahami, 403 nucleotides long. RefSeq lists it as uncharacterized. The record is from RefSeq and is a predicted model, not a curated record. Lineage: Eukaryota; Metazoa; Chordata; Actinopteri; Cypriniformes; Cyprinidae. The transcript is spliced from 3 exons.
CACUGCUGCAUCAGUGAAUGACAUGAGGAUGUGAAAGAAUACAACGGGCUGGGCAUAUGAUUUUAAAGCCAUUCUCGAACGGACUGCUAUAUGGACGAUGAGGAAUACACUGAGGACUGACUGAGGAACGGCCUGCAUUUGAGCCUGAGUCUUCCUCACCUGCCAGCCAUGGACUAGACGAGAGGAGUGUGUGUUAGAGAGUGUGUGACCGCAGACAUAAGCAUGGUGGUGAGGUGGCUGCUCAACUCCCAUUGAGAACACAGAAAAUGAGAGUGUGAAGCUGCAGGGCAGGCAGCGCAGCCACAUGAUCCCAUGACUCUGGACAUGGAUGCGGUCCUGUCAGACUUUGUUCGGUCCACAGGGGCAGAACCGGGUCUGGCACGAGACCUGCUGGAAGGUAUGA